RNAcentral lists this ribosomal RNA (1220 nucleotides) under Eleutherodactylus sp. UPRRP6361. RNAcentral describes it as "partial 16S ribosomal RNA". It matches the Rfam family "Bacterial large subunit ribosomal RNA", at positions 920 to 2925 of the family's 2925-position model. Lineage: Eukaryota; Metazoa; Chordata; Amphibia; Anura; Eleutherodactylidae. The record is from RNAcentral.
ACUCAGGAAAAGAAUCUUAGUUCAACCUAAAGUUACCUUAAUACUUUUAAAUCUAACAUUAACUUUAGAGUCAAUCAAAUAAGUCAGAGCUUGUUUGAAACAGGAUACAGCCUCCACCCGUGGGUAAUUCAACCUCUAAAUAAUCUAGUUGGCCUAAAAGCAGCCACCUCUUAAAAAGCGUCAAAGCUUAAUUACGUAACAAUCAUUAAUCCCUUAAACCCCCAAAGAACCCCUUAUCAGUACUGAGUGAUCUCAUACCCUUAUGAGACCCUUUAUGUUAAAACUAGUAACAAGAUGACAACCCUCUCUUAUAUGUAAACAUAUGUCAGAACAGAUAACCUACUGACCCAUAACAACCAUAAAUUUUAGUUACACCACACUUAGAAAACCUUACUUAAUCAACUGUUAACCUUACACAAGAACAUAAAAAGAAAGAUUAUAAGAAAAAGAAGGAACUCGGCAAAUUUCGAUUCCGCCUGUUUACCAAAAACAUCGCCUCCUGCUAAACUAUAGGAGGUCCAGCCUGCCCAGUGACCCAGUUUAACGGCCGCGGUAUCCUGACCGUGCGAAGGUAGCGUAAUCAUUUGUUUUUUAAUUAAAGACCUGUAUCAAAGGCAUCACGAGAAUCGUACUGUCUCCUUUUUCCAAUCAGUGAACCUAAUCUCCUCGUGAAAAAGCGAGGAUAACCAUACAAGACGAGAAGACCCUUUGGAGCUUUAGAUAAAGUAAAAUUCUGCUUUUUUUCCUCUUUUUCCUAUAUUUAACCAGCAUUCAUUCUACAAAUCUUCGGUUGGGGCAACCACGGAGAAAAAAAUAACCUCCAAGAUGAACGGAACUUCCUAAACAAAAAGCCACACCUUUAUGUAUCAAUAAAUUGACAUUAUGACCCAAUAUUUUGAUUAUCGAACCAAGUUACCCUAGGGAUAACAGCGCAAUCUAUUUCGAGAGUCCAUAUCGACAAAUAGGCUUACGACCUCGAUGUUGGAUCAAGGUAUCCCAGUGGUGCAGCCGCUACUAAAGGUUCGUUUGUUCAACGAUUAAAACCUCACGUGAUCUGAGUUCAGACCGGAGUAAUCCAGGUCAGUUUCUAUCUGUAUAGAGCUAUUCCCAGUACGAAAGGACAGAAAUAGCACGGCCUAUAUAAAAUUCAAGCCGUAUUUACCACUUAUGAUAUCCACUUAAUAACCCCAAACCUGAAAAGGCCCCCCAAGAGCAGAGAA